CGGCAGCUUUCGUUCCAACAGUUUCAACUCAACAUUUGAGCAUCAUCUUCCCCCAUCCCCCUUGGAACAUGGGACACCCUUCCAGAGAGAGCCAGUGGGGCCAUCAUCUGCCCCACCUGUCCCUCCUAAGGAUCAUGGUGGUAUCUUCUCUCGAGAUGCACCCACUCAUCUACCCUCUGUGGAUCUUUCGAACCCCUUACGCUUACGUUUUACUAUUCAAUUCAAUCCUCCCUCCCAUUGCACUUAUCUACCUUCCCCAAGUUGUUUGUAUUAAAAAAAAAAAAAAAAAAAAAAAGUAAAGAAACACAACCAAAGCCAUUUCAUUUGGCUGGGGGGUUGGGGAGUGGGGAGGAAAACAAUCUUUAUUUUACCCCAUCUAUUGAAGAGUAUUAUUACA
Molecule: long non-coding RNA, 397 nt
Filed under: Homo sapiens (human)
Lineage: Eukaryota; Metazoa; Chordata; Mammalia; Primates; Hominidae
Description: HSALNT0014957
Source: RNAcentral